This 3123-nucleotide long non-coding RNA is filed under the name Oryza sativa aus subgroup. Its description in RNAcentral is "lncRNA OsNaBo_01g0016820". Lineage: Eukaryota; Viridiplantae; Streptophyta; Magnoliopsida; Poales; Poaceae. The record is from RNAcentral.
GGUUAUAGCGAUACAGCGAUCGAUCACGAGAAAGAAGCGGAAAAGAAAAAAAAACUUCUCUCCCGUGCGCUAGCCCGUCGCCGCCUCCCGGAGCCGCUCGCCGCCUCCUCGCACGCGCCCGCCGGACCGCCAGGCGCCGCCGCCAACUCCGAGCGCGCACCCGCCGCAGCCGCGCCCCCUACCCCGCCACCUCCUCGCGCGUGCCCGACGCUCGCCCUACCCCGCCGUUGCCGCCUCCUCGCGGCCGCCAGUGAGACAGGUUCGCCGUCGGCUGGCGCCUUCUCCACCACCGCCGCCGCCUCCUCGCGCGUGGCCUCUGGAGUUCUGGGCUCGCCGUCGGCCGGCUCCUCCUCGCGUGCGCCCGCCGGGGAGCUGUGGUGGGUUACGGCACUACGCAGUACAGACUCCAGGUUAAGGCACAGGGAGGCAACAAUCCAAUACAGGAGAGAUAGGAUGGGAUCCCAGCUCAAGGGAGCCCUGGCGGCAGCUACGGUCGGGAGGACCUAAGCCCUACAGGCAAGCUCUAUAAUCAACCCCCUUUUGCUUACCGGCGAUAAGUCAACCAACUUCCAGUGAUGCAGGUACUGAUCCUCUCCUCCCUCCCUCUCCCUCCCUCCCUCUUUAUCACGACAUUAGCUGAUUGAUCACCAGCUUUUUAUUCCGAGUGCUCCAGUGAACUUUGUUCACAAAAUAGUGUUUUUUUCAUUUUCUGAUGCUUGUGCCUAUCGUGUGACUCCUCCACCGACUUGUACAUUGAUAUCUGCCCAACUGAUUGAUGAAAUGAUCGUUUACAUUUUUUUUUUGUUCAGUCAAUAGUUUCUGAUCAGCUUGGAGUGGUCCGUGCCAUGUUGCUGUGAUAAUGCUACAGGUUAAUCCUCCUGGCUCUCUGUACUGAAACAAUUUCUCUGGAUCUCUUUCCCUUUUGUUUUGGACCUUAUACAACCUGCUGUUGGCUAAUAAUGACAUUCAUGAAUAAUAGAUCAUGUUAAAGCUGUUUGCAUGGUCUGCUGUUGUCAAAUAGUUUUAUGCAGUCACAACUCUUAUUAAAUGAUCAAGUUGACUUCAAGCAUUGGGCUAAAAACUAAGAUUAUGUAAGUUAAAUAACAUAUAUGCUGUCAUCUUCAAUUUAAGUGAUAUUGUGUCAAUCUUCUGAUCAACUGUUUACAUCUUCGGAUUAUAUAGAUUCAUGUCACCUGUGUAUGUCUUCGGAAUUAUCUAUGUUUAUGUUACUGUGUAUGUCUUCAGAUUUAUAUAUAUUUAGGUCACCUGUGUAUAUCUUGAGAUAUUUCGUAAUUGCAUAUUAUUACAGAUGGCAAAGAUGUUUAAUUCUAUUUUUUUAUUGGAUAUCCUUCAGCGAUAUGCCCUGCCCGGCCUUGUCAGCUAAUAUGCAAUAUCAGUUUUAUGCCCUUGACAUGGCAUACAUUCCUCCAGGCUGCACUCACUUACACUUUUACUGUAGAUUGAUAGGUUAAUAUUCCAUUGUCAAGGUGAACCAAUCAGCUAAUGAUGGUUCAUAUAGUUAUAAUUUGAGUGCAACUAUGUAUCCACUAUGAUGUAGAAUUGUGGGUAUUUAUAGAUGCAAUUUAAAAGGUAUGCCACUUAGGAAUCGACACUCAGGCACAUGCACCUAGGCUUGAUGGGUAAGUCUGGCCAAUUUACAUAUGGGGAACACAAAUUAAUUUAAUCAGUUAUUCCAAUUUAUUCUUCUUUGUUUCUAUGCACUGCAAUGCCAAUUUGAGUGCCUAUCUUGUCAUGCUAUUCAGCAUAAUGUCUUGGCAGGCUAUGCAUAUGUUCAUGCUUAUAUAUGCAGCAUUCAUAUAAGUACGGAUUAAUUGGAUUGCUUGCUUUGUCUAAUGCAGCCUCACCAUUUAAUUUGUGGCGAGCACCUUAAUUCCAUCUUGCCAUUAUCGAGGGAGUAUAUCAUAUGCACCUAAUUCUGUAUAUAGAGUAUUUAUUGACUAGGGUCUUGGAAAUUUUUGAAUUGCUGUCAGAUGUAAGUUCCUCAGAUUGAUGAUUUGAUUACUUUCACAGCUAAUACCAUUGAUCAUAGCUAAACACCACUUAUAGAAGUUUAAUGGAUUUUUAUCUAAAAAGGGAAAAAAGGAAAUUAAUAACUGAAACUGCAUAGUAGUACUAUGAUCUCUGAACAAAGAAAUUUGCUGAGUUUCCUAGCAGCUGUUGGGUGCAUUUUCCUCUUGUUAUGUGUGCCUAACCUUGCAUCCAUUAAAUUUCAAAAGUGCAAAUAGAGAAUUAUUGCAUGCAUUCCUUUUAUAUCAAAGAUUGGGAUGAAAUUUCCAGCUUAAUCCUGACAGCCGCAAUGUGUCUUGAGCAAAAGGAAGCAAGGCUGCAACUGAAACACGGUGAAUAGUAAAUAAAAAUCUCGCUUUUAGGAAAAAAAAAAGGUGUAGCAGCUUGAAGCAUUAAAAAAUAAGAUGGCAGCAAACAGAUGUUUGCUUUAUUGGAUUUAAUACUUGGAUAUUCCACUGUGCUUCCCAAAUUGAGCUGAAUAAAUAGCUGACGAAUUGUUCUCUUAACAUGUCUCAGUUGUCCUUUGUAUCAAAUGAGCAGCAUAAUCCAUUCAUGGAUUGUUCUUUUCCACUGGUGAUACAGAUAGUUACUUCUAAUGUUUCAUGGAAAAGUUCGAGCUACAAAAAUUUCUUAAGCAAGCUUACGGAUUGUUUCUGAUGAGUUUAGCAACUCUAUGGAAACAAGCAUAAGUGCUUCUCAUCUGACCAGUUCCAAGAGAAAAGUAGCCAAGUAGGUAGAACAAUCCCAAAACUGCAAACUUAUUUUACUGUAUAUAUAUACUUUCCUUUUUAGCAUUUUCUGUAAAGUCCCAGUUCUGUAUUGCAGUUGGCAUGGUUGUGUUCAUCGGAAUAUUGAAUGUCAAAUCGAAAGGAGGCGCCAACCUAUAGCUAUCAACAACAUGGACACCAUGGUUCAGAUUCAUAAAUUUGGGGAUCAUGGAUGUCUAGGUUCAGAAAUUUUUGGAUUUUAGGCAACAAAUUUUGUAGAAUUUCCAAUUUAGAAAAACACAUUUUGCAUUUCGUUAUAAUGUAAUAAAAUACCAAUUUACGUUUAUUUGAUGAAUUAUCAAAGCAACGCUUACAAUACUUUUAUUUU